CCUACGGGUGGCAGCAGUGGGGAAUAUUGCACAAUGGGGGAAACUCUGAUGCAGCGACGCCGCGUGAGUGAAGAAGUAAUUCGUUAUGUAAAGCUCUAUCAGCAGGGAAGAAAAUGACGGUACCUGAGGAAGAAGCUCCGGCUAACGACGUGCCAGCAGCCGCGGUAAUACGUAGGGGGCCAGCGUUAUCCGGAUUUACUGGGUGUAAGGGGAGCGUAGUCGGCAGUGAAAGUCUGGAGUGAAAGGCGGGGGCUCAACCCCCGGACUGCUGUGGAAACUGUACGGCUGGAGUGCAGGAGAGGUGAGUGGAAUUCGUAGUGUAGCGGUGAAAUGCGUAGAUAUUAGGAGGAACACCAGUGGCGAAGGCAGCUUACUGGACUGUAACUGACGUUGAGGCUCGAAAGCGUGGGGAGCAAACAGGAUUAGAUACCCCUGUAGUC
RNAcentral lists this ribosomal RNA (440 nucleotides) under uncultured bacterium. Its description in RNAcentral is "partial 16S ribosomal RNA". It matches the Rfam family "Bacterial small subunit ribosomal RNA", at positions 338 to 795 of the family's 1533-position model. The record is from RNAcentral.